RNAcentral lists this long non-coding RNA (260 nucleotides) under Gossypium barbadense (sea-island cotton). RNAcentral describes it as "long non-coding RNA (GBAR_LNC022850)". The record is from RNAcentral. Lineage: Eukaryota; Viridiplantae; Streptophyta; Magnoliopsida; Malvales; Malvaceae.
CAAAACAUCGUAUAAGAUGAUUGCUCAAUGAUAUAUUGUGAUCAAAUGAUUGGAAUACUGUGUAUACCGAAAUAAGUGCCUUACUUGUGUGUGUAAUACAUAAUUAUAUUUUAUGUAGAGUCUGCCAUAUAGCUAGGCUUUGAAAACAUAUAGAGUCAGCCAGAAAAGUAAGCAUGAGUUUAUAUUGUGUAAGACCAUAGCUAGGCUACGGUGUCAAAUAAAGUCUGCCAGAAUGUUGAAAUAAGAAGUGAACAGAACAA